GAGAGUCUAGCUCAGUGGUAGAGCACAUGCUUAGCAUGCACGAGGUCCUGGGUUCAACCCCAGUACCUCCA
This 71-nucleotide transfer RNA is filed under the name Camelus bactrianus (Bactrian camel). It matches the Rfam family "tRNA". Rfam says of the family: Transfer RNA (tRNA) molecules are approximately 80 nucleotides in length. Their secondary structure includes four short double-helical elements and three loops (D, anti-codon, and T loops). Further hydrogen bonds mediate the characteristic L-shaped molecular structure. tRNAs have two regions of fundamental functional importance: the anti-codon, which is responsible for specific mRNA codon recognition, and the 3' end, to which the tRNAs corresponding amino acid is attached (by aminoacyl-tRNA synthetases). tRNAs cope with the degeneracy of the genetic code in two manners: having more than one tRNA (with a specific anti-codon) for a particular amino acid; and 'wobble' base-pairing, i.e. permitting non-standard base-pairing at the 3rd anti-codon position. RNAcentral also lists the same sequence under 2 other names. Lineage: Eukaryota; Metazoa; Chordata; Mammalia; Artiodactyla; Camelidae. The record is from Rfam by way of RNAcentral.